This 465-nucleotide ribosomal RNA is filed under the name uncultured bacterium. RNAcentral's name for it is "partial 16S ribosomal RNA". It matches the Rfam family "Bacterial small subunit ribosomal RNA", at positions 28 to 507 of the family's 1533-position model. The record is from RNAcentral.
GACGAACGCUGGCGGCGUGCUUAACACAUGCAAGUCGAACGGAAAGGCCCUGCUUGCAGGGUACUCGAGUGGCGAACGGGUGAGUAACACGUGGGUGAUCUGCCCUGCACUUCGGGAUAAGCCUGGGAAACUGGGUCUAAUACCGGAUAGGAGCCCUUUUUAGUGUGAUGGUUGGAAAGUUUUUUCGGUGUAGGAUGAGCUCGCGGCCUAUCAGCUUGUUGGUGGGGUAAUGGCCUACCAAGGCGGCGACGGGUAGCCGGCCUGAGAGGGUGGACGGCCACAUUGGGGCUGGGAUACGGCCCAGACUCCUACGGGGGGCAGGAGGGGGGGAUAUUGCACAAUGGGCGGAAGCCUGAUGCAGCGACGCCGCGUGGGGGAUGACGGCCUUCGGGUUGUAAACUCGUUUCGCUAGGGACGAAGCUUUUUGUGACGGUACCUAGAUAAGAAGCACCGGCUAACUACGUG